UCGAGAGUCGUAAUGGACUCGGCGCACUGCUCAGUAACACGUGGAUAACGUACCCUAAAGUGGAGCAUAAUCUCGGAAAACUGAGGAUAAUACUCCAUAGGUCACGAGAUCUGGAAAGACUUGUGGCUCAAAGUUCCGGCGCUUUAGGAUCGGUCUGCGGCCUAUCAGGUAGUAGUGGGUGUAACGGACCCACUAGCCGAUGACGGGUAUGGGCCUUGAGAGAGGGAGCCCAGAGAUGGAUUCUGAGACACGAAUCCAGGCCCUACGGGGCGCAGCAGUCGCGAAAACUUCACAAUGGAGGCAACUCCGAUGAGGGAAUUCCUAGUGCCAAUGCAUUUUGUGUUGGCUUUUCUUCAGCGUAGAUAACUGAUGGAAUAAGGGCUGGGUAAGACGGGUGCCAGCCGCCGCGGUAAUACCCGCAGCCCAAGUGGUGGUCGAUAUUAUUGAGUCUAAAACGUUCGUAGCCGGUUCAAUAAAUCUCUGGGUAAAUCGGAGGGCUUAACCUUCCGAAUUCCGGAGAGACUGUUGAACUUGGGACCGGGAGAGGCAAGAGGUACUUCUGGGGUAGGGGUAAAAUCCUGUAAUCCUAGAAGGACCACCGGUGGCGAAGGCGUCUUGCUAGAACGGAUCCGACGGUGAGGGACGAAGCCCUGGGUCGCAAACGGGAUUAGAUACCCCGGUAGUCCAGGGUGUAAACGCUGCAGACUUGGUGUUGGGAACCCUUCGGGGGUGCUCAGUGCCGGAGAGAAGUUGUUAAGUCUGCUACUUGGGGAGUACGUCCGCAAGGAUGAAACUUAAAGGAAUUGGCGGGGGAGCACCGCAACGGGAGGAGCGUGCGGU
RNAcentral lists this ribosomal RNA (840 nucleotides) under uncultured archaeon. RNAcentral describes it as "bacterial SSU rRNA". It matches the Rfam family "Archaeal small subunit ribosomal RNA", at positions 58 to 901 of the family's 1478-position model. The record is from RNAcentral.